GAUUAAAGAUUUACCGGUGAUGGAUGGGGAUGCGUCUGAUUAGCUUGUUGGCGGGGUAACGGCCCACCAAGGCAACGAUCAGUAGGGGUUCUGAGAGGAAGGUCCCCCACAUUGGAACUGAGACACGGUCCAAACUCCUACGGGAGGCAGCAGUGAGGAAUAUUGGUCAAUGGACGAGAGUCUGAACCAGCCAAGUAGCGUGCAGGAUGACGGCCCUAUGGGUUGUAAACUGCUUUUAUAAGGGAAUAAAGUGAGUCUCGUGAGACUUUUUGCAUGUACCUUAUGAAUAAGGACCGGCUAAUUCCGUGCCAGCAGCCGCGGUAAUACGGAAGGUCCGGGCGUUAUCCGGAUUUAUUGGGUUUAAAGGGAGCGUAGGCCGGAGAUUAAGCGUGUUGUGAAAUGUAGAUGCUCAACAUCUGCACUGCAGCGCGAACUGGUUUCCUUGAGUACGCACAAAGUGGGCGGAAUUCGUGGUGUAGCGGUGAAAUGCUUAGAUAUCACGAAGAACUCCGAUUGCGAAGGCAGCUCACUGGAGCGCAACUGACGCUGAAGCUCGAAAGUGCGGGUAUCGAACAGGAUUAGAUACCCUGGUAGUCCGCACGGUAAACGAUGGAUGCCCGCUGUUGGUCUGAAUAGGUCAGCGGCCAAGCGAAAGCAUUAAGCAUCCCACCUGGGG
This 676-nucleotide ribosomal RNA is filed under the name uncultured bacterium. RNAcentral describes it as "bacterial SSU rRNA". It matches the Rfam family "Bacterial small subunit ribosomal RNA", at positions 199 to 878 of the family's 1533-position model. The record is from RNAcentral.